RNAcentral lists this microRNA (22 nucleotides) under Callorhinchus milii (elephant shark). RNAcentral's name for it is "eshark_NOVEL_126". The record is from RNAcentral. Lineage: Eukaryota; Metazoa; Chordata; Chondrichthyes; Chimaeriformes; Callorhinchidae.
UUUGAAUCUGUGAGCAGAAGAU